AUUGAACGCUGGCGGCAGGCCUAACACAUGCAAGUCGAGCGAGCGGCGGACGGGCGAGUAAUGCCUAGGAAGCAGACUGGUAGAGGGGGAUAACGUCCGGAAACGGGCGCUAAUUCCGCAUACGUUCGAUUGAGUGGAUGCAGGAUUAGCUAGUGGGUGGGGUAAAGGCCCACCAAGGCGACGAUCCCUAGCUGGUCUGAGUGGAUGACCAGCCACACUGGAACUGAGACACUGUCCAGACUCCUCCGGGAGGCAGCAGUGGGGAAUAUUGCACAAUGGGCGCAAGCCUGAUGCAGCCAUGCCGCGUGUAUGAAGAAGGCCUUCGGGUUGUAAAGUACUUUCAGCGGGGAGGCGUUACCCGCAGAAGAAGCACCGGCUAACUCCGUGCCAGCAGCCGCGGUAAUUC
RNAcentral lists this ribosomal RNA (406 nucleotides) under uncultured bacterium. RNAcentral's name for it is "partial 16S ribosomal RNA". It matches the Rfam family "Bacterial small subunit ribosomal RNA", at positions 30 to 526 of the family's 1533-position model. The record is from RNAcentral.